AGAGUUUGAUCCUGGCUCAGGAUGAACGCUGGCGGCGUGCCUAACACAUGCAAGUCGAACGGGCUUAACAUGAAACCUAGUGAUUGUUAAGUUAGUGGCGGACGGGUGAGUAACGCGUGGAUAACCUGCCGUAUGCAGGGGGAUAACAGUUGGAAACAGCUGCUAAUACCGCAUAAGCGCACAGUACCGCAUGGUACGGUGUGAAAAGAUUUAUCGGCAUACGAUGGAUCCGCGUCCGAUUAGCCAGUUGGCGGGGUAACGGCCCACCAAAGCGACGAUCGGUAGCCGGCCUGAGAGGGCGGACGGCCACAUUGGGACUGAGACACGGCCCAAACUCCUACGGGAGGCAGCAGUGGGGAAUAUUGCACAAUGGGGGAAACCCUGAUGCAGCGACGCCGCGUGAGUGAAGAAGUAUCUCGGCAUGUAAAGCUCUAUCAGCAGGGAAGAAAAUGACGGUACCUGACUAAGAAGCCCCGGCUAACUACGUG
Molecule: ribosomal RNA, 488 nt
Filed under: uncultured Lachnospiraceae bacterium
Lineage: Bacteria; Bacillati; Bacillota; Clostridia; Lachnospirales; Lachnospiraceae
Description: bacterial SSU rRNA
Rfam family: Bacterial small subunit ribosomal RNA
Source: RNAcentral